This 156-nucleotide non-coding RNA is filed under the name uncultured Mitsuokella sp. Lineage: Bacteria; Bacillati; Bacillota; Negativicutes; Selenomonadales; Selenomonadaceae. The record is from RNAcentral.
AGGUGUCAAAGACUCAAUAGAGAAUCCGGUAAAAGCCGGAGCGGUCCCGCCACUGUAACAGGGAGCGAGCCUCAAAUGUGUCACUGAAGACGGCAAAGCGUCUUUGGGAAGACGAGGCAAGCUGUGAACUGGAGCCAGGAGAACUGCCUGAUUUGC